AGUGAACGCUGACGGUAGGCCUAACACAUGCAAGUCGAACGGCAGCACAGUAAGAGCUUGCUCUUACGGGUGGCGAGUGGCGGACGGGUGAGGAAUACAUCGGAAUCUACUUUUUCGUGGGGGAUAACGUAGGGAGACUUACGCUAAUACCGCAUACGACCUACGGGUGAAAGCAGGGGAUCUUCGGACCUUGCGCGAUUGAAUGAGCCGAUGUCGGAUUAGCUAGUUGGCGGGGUAAAGGCCCACCAAGGCGACGAUCCGUAGCUGGUCUGAGAGGAUGAUCAGCCACACUGGAACUGAGACACGGUCCAGACUCCUACGGGAGGCAGCAGUGGGGAAUAUUGGACAAUGGGCGCAAGCCUGAUCCAGCCAUACCGCGUGGGUGAAGAAGGCCUUCGGGUUGUAAAGCCCUUUUGUUGGGAAAGAAAAGCAGCAGGUUAAUACCCCGCUGUUCUGACGGUACCCAAAGAAUAAGCACCGGCUAACUUCGUG
This 492-nucleotide ribosomal RNA is filed under the name uncultured bacterium. RNAcentral's name for it is "partial 16S ribosomal RNA". It matches the Rfam family "Bacterial small subunit ribosomal RNA", at positions 29 to 507 of the family's 1533-position model. The record is from RNAcentral.